ACGGUGAAGAGAUUUCGGUCAAUCAUGUGCAUCUUUAGUGGCGGACGGGUGAGUAACGCGUGGGUAACCUGCCUUACACAGGGGGAUAACACUUAGAAAUAGGUGCUAAUACCGCAUGAGCGCACAGGACCGCAUGGUCGAGUGUGAAAAACUGAGGUGGUGUAAGAUGGACCCGCGUCUGAUUAGCUGGUUGGUGAGGUAACGGCCCACCAAGGCGACGAUCAGUAGCCGGCCUGAGAGGGUGGACGGCCACAUUGGGACUGAGACACGGCCCAAACUCCUACGGGAGGCAGCAGUGGGGGAUAUUGGACAAUGGGGGGAACCCUGAUCCAGCG
This 335-nucleotide ribosomal RNA is filed under the name uncultured bacterium. RNAcentral's name for it is "bacterial SSU rRNA". It matches the Rfam family "Bacterial small subunit ribosomal RNA", at positions 66 to 393 of the family's 1533-position model. The record is from RNAcentral.